AUACUUUCCUGGCAGGGGAGACACUGUGAUCACCAAGGCAGUUCUCCCAGGGCGAGGCUCACCCAUUGCACUCUGGGUGUGCUGACCUCUGCGAUUUCCACAAAUGCAAAAGA
Molecule: small nuclear RNA, 113 nt
Filed under: Leptobrachium leishanense (Leishan spiny toad)
Lineage: Eukaryota; Metazoa; Chordata; Amphibia; Anura; Megophryidae
Description: U1 spliceosomal RNA (ENSLLEG00000010114.1)
Rfam family: U1 spliceosomal RNA
About the family: U1 is a small nuclear RNA (snRNA) component of the spliceosome (involved in pre-mRNA splicing). Its 5' end forms complementary base pairs with the 5' splice junction, thus defining the 5' donor site of an intron. There are significant differences in sequence and secondary structure between metazoan and yeast U1 snRNAs, the latter being much longer (568 nucleotides as compared to 164 nucleotides in human).
Source: Rfam by way of RNAcentral